This 102-nucleotide microRNA precursor is filed under the name Columba livia (rock pigeon). Its description in RNAcentral is "let-7f stem-loop (cli-let-7f)". Its record names the gene cli-let-7f. The stretch from base 8 to 94 matches the Rfam family "let-7 microRNA precursor family". Rfam says of the family: This family represents the microRNAs (miRNA) let-7 and mir-98. let-7 was identified from a study of developmental timing in C. elegans, and was later shown to be part of a much larger class of non-coding RNAs termed miRNAs. The extents of the hairpin precursors are not generally known and are estimated based on hairpin prediction. The products are thought to have regulatory roles through complementarity to mRNA. The record is from miRBase by way of RNAcentral. Lineage: Eukaryota; Metazoa; Chordata; Aves; Columbiformes; Columbidae.
UUCUCUGUCAGAGUGAGGUAGUAGAUUGUAUAGUUGUAGGGUAGUUAUUUUACCCUGUUCAGGAGAUAACUAUACAAUCUAUUGCCUUCCCUGCGGAGUAAA